This 2913-nucleotide ribosomal RNA is filed under the name Escherichia coli TOP291. RNAcentral's name for it is "bacterial LSU rRNA". It matches the Rfam family "Bacterial large subunit ribosomal RNA". The record is from RNAcentral. Lineage: Bacteria; Pseudomonadati; Pseudomonadota; Gammaproteobacteria; Enterobacterales; Enterobacteriaceae.
ACUAAGCGUACACGGUGGAUGCCCUGGCAGUCAGAGGCGAUGAAGGACGUGCUAAUCUGCGAUAAGCGUCGGUGAGGUGAUAUGAACCGUUAUAACCGGCGAUUUCCGAAUGGGGAAACCCAGUGUGUUUCGACACACUAUCAUUAACUGAAUCCAUAGGUUAAUGAGGCGAACCGGGGGAACUGAAACAUCUAAGUACCCCGAGGAAAAGAAAUCAACCGAGAUUCCCCCAGUAGCGGCGAGCGAACGGGGAGGAGCCCAGAGCCUGAAUCAGUGUGUGUGUUAGUGGAAGCGUCUGGAAAGGCGUGCGAUACAGGGUGACAGCCCCGUACACAAAAAUGCACAUAUUGUGAGCUCGAUGAGUAGGGCGGGACACGUGGUAUCCUGUCUGAAUAUGGGGGGACCAUCCUCCAAGGCUAAAUACUCCUGACUGACCGAUAGUGAACCAGUACCGUGAGGGAAAGGCGAAAAGAACCCCGGCGAGGGGAGUGAAAAAGAACCUGAAACCGUGUACGUACAAGCAGUGGGAGCCUCUUAAUGGGGUGACUGCGUACCUUUUGUAUAAUGGGUCAGCGACUUAUAUUCUGUAGCAAGGUUAACCGAAUAGGGGAGCCGAAGGGAAACCGAGUCUUAACUGGGCGUUAAGUUGCAGGGUAUAGACCCGAAACCCGGUGAUCUAGCCAUGGGCAGGUUGAAGGUUGGGUAACACUAACUGGAGGACCGAACCGACUAAUGUUGAAAAAUUAGCGGAUGACUUGUGGCUGGGGGUGAAAGGCCAAUCAAACCGGGAGAUAGCUGGUUCUCCCCGAAAGCUAUUUAGGUAGCGCCUCGUGAAUUCAUCUCCGGGGGUAGAGCACUGUUUCGGCAAGGGGGUCAUCCCGACUUACCAACCCGAUGCAAACUGCGAAUACCGGAGAAUGUUAUCACGGGAGACACACGGCGGGUGCUAACGUCCGUCGUGAAGAGGGAAACAACCCAGACCGCCAGCUAAGGUCCCAAAGUCAUGGUUAAGUGGGAAACGAUGUGGGAAGGCCCAGACAGCCAGGAUGUUGGCUUAGAAGCAGCCAUCAUUUAAAGAAAGCGUAAUAGCUCACUGGUCGAGUCGGCCUGCGCGGAAGAUGUAACGGGGCUAAACCAUGCACCGAAGCUGCGGCAGCGACACUAUGUGUUGUUGGGUAGGGGAGCGUUCUGUAAGCCUGUGAAGGUGGCCUGUGAGGGUUGCUGGAGGUAUCAGAAGUGCGAAUGCUGACAUAAGUAACGAUAAAGCGGGUGAAAAGCCCGCUCGCCGGAAGACCAAGGGUUCCUGUCCAACGUUAAUCGGGGCAGGGUGAGUCGACCCCUAAGGCGAGGCCGAAAGGCGUAGUCGAUGGGAAACAGGUUAAUAUUCCUGUACUUGGUGUUACUGCGAAGGGGGGAGGAUUACUGCGAAGGGGGGACGGAGAAGGCUAUGUUGGCCGGGCGACGGUUGUCCCGGUUUAAGCGUGUAGGCUGGUUUUCCAGGCAAAUCCGGAAAACCAAGGCUGAGGCGUGAUGACGAGGCACUACGGUGCUGAAGCGACAAAUGCCCUGCUUCCAGGAAAAGCCUCUAAGCAUCAGGUAACAUCAAAUCGUACCCCAAACCGACACAGGUGGUCAGGUAGAGAAUACCAAGGCGCUUGAGAGAACUCGGGUGAAGGAACUAGGCAAAAUGGUGCCGUAACUUCGGGAGAAGGCACGCUGAUAUGUAGGUGAAGCGACUUGCUCGUGGAGCUGAAAUCAGUCGAAGAUACCAGCUGGCUGCAACUGUUUAUUAAAAACACAGCACUGUGCAAACACGAAAGUGGACGUAUACGGUGUGACGCCUGCCCGGUGCCGGAAGGUUAAUUGAUGGGGUUAGCGGCAACGCGAAGCUCUUGAUCGAAGCCCCGGUAAACGGCGGCCGUAACUAUAACGGUCCUAAGGUAGCGAAAUUCCUUGUCGGGUAAGUUCCGACCUGCACGAAUGGCGUAAUGAUGGCCAGGCUGUCUCCACCCGAGACUCAGUGAAAUUGAACUCGCUGUGAAGAUGCAGUGUACCCGCGGCAAGACGGAAAGACCCCGUGAACCUUUACUAUAGCUUGACACUGAACAUUGAGCCUUGAUGUGUAGGAUAGGUGGGAGGCUUUGAAGUGUGGACGCCAGUCUGCAUGGAGCCGACCUUGAAAUACCACCCUUUAAUGUUUGAUGUUCUAACGUUGGCCCGUAAUCCGGGUUGCGGACAGUGUCUGGUGGGUAGUUUGACUGGGGCGGUCUCCUCCUAAAGAGUAACGGAGGAGCACGAAGGUUGGCUAAUCCUGGUCGGACAUCAGGAGGUUAGUGCAAUGGCAUAAGCCAGCUUGACUGCGAGCGUGACGGCGCGAGCAGGUGCGAAAGCAGGUCAUAGUGAUCCGGUGGUUCUGAAUGGAAGGGCCAUCGCUCAACGGAUAAAAGGUACUCCGGGGAUAACAGGCUGAUACCGCCCAAGAGUUCAUAUCGACGGCGGUGUUUGGCACCUCGAUGUCGGCUCAUCACAUCCUGGGGCUGAAGUAGGUCCCAAGGGUAUGGCUGUUCGCCAUUUAAAGUGGUACGCGAGCUGGGUUUAGAACGUCGUGAGACAGUUCGGUCCCUAUCUGCCGUGGGCGCUGGAGAACUGAGGGGGGCUGCUCCUAGUACGAGAGGACCGGAGUGGACGCAUCACUGGUGUUCGGGUUGUCAUGCCAAUGGCACUGCCCGGUAGCUAAAUGCGGAAGAGAUAAGUGCUGAAAGCAUCUAAGCACGAAACUUGCCCCGAGAUGAGUUCUCCCUGACUCCUUGAGAGUCCUGAAGGAACGUUGAAGACGACGACGUUGAUAGGCCGGGUGUGUAAGCGCAGCGAUGCGUUGAGCUAACCGGUACUAAUGAACCGUGAGGCUUAACC